GACGAACGCUGGCGGCGUGCCUAAUACAUGCAAGUAGAACGCUGAAGGAGGAGCUUGCUCUUCUGGAUGAGUUGCGAACGGGUGAGUAACGCGUAUGUAACCUGCCUGGUAGCGGGGUAUAACUAUUGGAAACGAUAGCUAAUACCGCAUAACAGUAGAUGUUGCAUUACAUUUUCUUAGAAUGUGCAAUUUCAUCACUACCAGAUGGACCUUCGUUGUAUUAGCUAGUUGGUGGGGUAAUGGCUCAUCAAGGCGACGAUACAUAGCCGACCUGAGAGGGGGGUCGGCCACACGAGGACUGGAACGCGGACCAGACUCCUGCGGGAGGCCGCAGUAGGGAAUCUUCGGCAAUGGACGGAAGUCUGACCGAGCAACGCCGCGUGAGUGAAGAAGGUUUUCGGAUCGUAAAGAUCGGUUGUAAGAGAAGAACGAGUGUGGGAGUGGAAAGUUCACACUGUGACGGUAGCUGACCAGAAAGGAACGGCUAACUACGUG
RNAcentral lists this ribosomal RNA (495 nucleotides) under uncultured bacterium. Its description in RNAcentral is "partial 16S ribosomal RNA". It matches the Rfam family "Bacterial small subunit ribosomal RNA", at positions 28 to 507 of the family's 1533-position model. The record is from RNAcentral.